CGGCUGCACGAUGCCGAAUUUUGGACGGGAAUGGCGCGCUCCGAGAGAUUCGAACUCCCGACCCUCGGAAUCGAAAUCCGAUGCUCUAUCCAGCUGAGCUAGGAGCGCUGACGGCUGCACCAUAGCCAAUGACGGCUCGAAAUCCAGCCCGAAAUCGCUCCAAAACUCCUGUUUUAGCCGCAGGCAGUUGCAAGGUGUUUGCGGUCAAAACACAACGGAAAAUACUG
RNAcentral lists this transfer RNA (227 nucleotides) under Hevea brasiliensis (rubber tree). Lineage: Eukaryota; Viridiplantae; Streptophyta; Magnoliopsida; Malpighiales; Euphorbiaceae. The record is from RNAcentral.